Molecule: ribosomal RNA, 497 nt
Filed under: uncultured bacterium
Lineage: Bacteria
Description: partial 16S ribosomal RNA
Rfam family: Bacterial small subunit ribosomal RNA
Source: RNAcentral
GACGAACGCUGGCGGCGUGCCUAAUACAUGCAAGUUGAGCGAUGAAGAUUGGUGCUUGCACCCAUUUGAAGAGCAGCGAACGGGUGAGUAACGCGUGGGGAAUCUGCCUUUGAGCGGGGGACAACAUUUGGAAACGAAUGCUAAUACCGCAUAAUAACUUUAAACAUAAGUUUUAAGUUUGAAAGAUGCAAUUGCAUCACUCAAAGAUGAUCCCGCGUUGUAUUAGCUAGUUGGUGAGGUAAAGGCUCACCAAGGCGAUGAUACAUAGCCGACCUGAGAGGGUGAUCGGCCACAUUGGGACUGAGACACGGCCCAAACUCCUACGGGAGGCAGCAGUAGGGAAUCUUCGGCAAUGGACGAAAGUCUGACCGCGCAACGCCGCGUGAGUGAAGAAGGGUUUCGGAUCGUAAAACUCUGUUGGUAGAGAAGAACGUUGGUGAGAGUGGAAAGCUCAUCAAGUGACGGUAACUACACAGAAAGGGACGGCUAACUACGUG